UUAGUCUGAGUGGAGCGAGCGAGCCGAGUGGUUGUGUGGUUGCGUCUCGGAAACUAGUAGCGCUUGCAGCAUGGCUGACCAACUGACUGAAGAGCCGAUUGCAGAAUUCAAAUAAGUUUUUUCACUAUUUGACAAGGAUGGUGAUGCAACUAUAACAACAAAGGAAUUGGGAACUGUAAUGAGGUCUCUUGGGCAGAAUCCCACAGAAGCAGAGUUACAGGACAUGAUCAAUGAAGUAGAUGCUGAUGAUAACGGCACAAUUGACUUCCCUGAAUUUCUUACCAUGAUGGCAAGAAAAAUGAAAGACACAGACAGCGAAGAAGAAAUUAGAGAAGCAUUCCGUGUGUUUGAUAAGGAUGGUAAUGGCUAUGUUAGUGCAGCAGAGCUUCGUCAUGUGAUGACAAACCUUGGAGAGAAGUUAACAGAUGAAGAGGUUGAUGAAGUGAUCAGGGAAGCAGAUAUCGAUGGUGAUGGUCAAGUAAACUAUGAAGAGUUUGUACAAAUGAUGACAGCAAAGUGAAGACAUUGUACAGAAUGUGUUAAAUUUCUUGUACAAAAUUGUUUAUUUGCCUUUUCUUUGUUUGUAGCUUAUCUGUAAAAGGUUUCUCCCUACUGUCAAAAAAAUAUGCAUGUAUAGUAAUUAGGACUUCAUUCCUCCAUGUUUUCUUCCCUUAACUGUUAUUGUCCUGAAACCUUAUUUUAGAAAAUUGAUCAAGUAACAUGUUGCAUGUGGCUUACUCUGGAUAUAUCUAAGCCCUUCUGCACAUCUUAACUUAGAUGGAGUUGGUCAAAUGAGGGAACAUGUGGGUUAUGCCUUUUUUAAAGUAGUUUUCUUUAGGAACUGUCAGCAUGUUGUUGUUGAAGUGUGGAGUUGUAACUCUGCGUGGACUAUGGACAGUCAAUAAUAUGUUCUUAAAAGUUGCACUAUUGCAAAACGGGUGUAUUUUAUCCAGGUACUCGUACACUAUUUUUUUGUACUGCUGGUCCUGUACCAGAAACAUUUUAUUGUUACUUGCUUUUUAAACUUUGUUUUAGCCACUUAAAGAAAAUCUGCUUAUGGCACAAUUUGCCUCAAAUCCAUUCCAAGUUGUAUAUUUGUUUUCCAAUAAAAAAAUUACAAUUUACCC
This is an RNA transcript of Propithecus coquereli (Coquerel's sifaka), 1127 nucleotides long. It is a transcript of the gene named calmodulin pseudogene, with no coding region annotated. The transcript has a single exon. The record is from RefSeq and is a predicted model, not a curated record. NCBI's taxonomy places the organism in Eukaryota, Metazoa, Chordata, Mammalia, Primates, Indriidae.